UAACAUCAAAUUUUAAAAUUGUAGCAUAAUAAGUACAUGUCUUCGAGUUGCUUCCAACUGAAACAUAUCCUUAUCGAAAUUGAAUGUAUUAUAUUUGAGGAUUAGAAUAAGGCAUAAUGCAUUAUGUAAUCCUUAAAUAUAUCAUUUAAUCUUUUACAAUCUUUUCACUACACAUAUUUUCUCUUAUCGCACGACGCACGUCUAAACUUCCACUCUUUUUGCCGACCCCUGAAGAAGUGUGUGAAUAACACGCGCACCGACGGGAAAGGACAUGUUGAAAUUGUACGAUAAAUUUGCGGCUUGAAGAGUUUUCCGCCAGUCCCUUACGGUUUAAAGUGUUACCUAUCAGCUUUUUAGAAAUGGCCUUGGUCACUUGAAUUGCGAAGGUUCUGGCUCUUUGCUUACAUGUGAUCAUAAAGCUAUCAGAUAGGAAAAACAAAUACUCCAAUUAUGGUCUUUAUCUUUUCCCUUUGUUAAAUCAAAAACCGGAGAUUAUCAUAUUGUGAAAAACGAAAAAAAACUGCCGCUCGCCUUUCUCGCUUCCAGCCGCCUCCGGUCACCGUUAUCCACUGCCGCUUUCCCUUCUCGCUUCCGCCACCGAUCUCCACCAUCUCGCCGUCUUUGUCUCCGCCAUAAUAAGAAUAGAAGAAAUCAUUCGGUGUCACUAUCUUUGGAUCCUUGCACAAUUGUUCGUUUUCAAUUUCUGCAUCAAAUGGGAAAUUCAGAAAAGUUUAGAACUUAAAGGAAAACAUGGUAGACACCGGAAAGGAAGAAAUAAAGGACUUGUUAACCGUCGAUAACCGUCCAACCGCUGCAAUUCUCUUCUUUCUCCAUGGCCGGCAGAGAUUUCAAAAAGCGCAGUAUGGGUCAAAAUAGGGAGACAAUUUUGAAGCUUCCAACAUGGUGGUGUAAAUGAUGAGAUGGUGAGAAAACCUUCACCGUCGUCCUCAGCGGCCAGGUUCUUAUAUUUCAAAUUUAUAUCCUUUUUUCUGUUAUUACAUGUUAAGAUCUGCUUUCAAAUUGGUGAUUUUUAUACAAUAUUAUUUACUUGACAAAGUUUUUUAAAUAAUAAUCCAACAUUUAAAAUUUUUAAUUCUGAAUUUAGUGAAAAUUGAACAUUAAUACAUUCGAUCAUUAAUAUAUAUUCACACUACCAUCUUCACUACCGUAAAAAAGAAUAAUCAAUGGAAUGAUCGUUUCAAUUCAAUGUUUAGCAAUCUUUAAAAGAUAAGUAGUAUAUUUUUUCUUUUUCCUUUUAAAUAUGAAUGUUACAUUCAUAAUCAUUAUUAUAGUUAUGGUUUAUAUUCUUAUACUUUUCUAAUUUUAUAUGGGUAAUUGAAUAUGAAGUAGAGUUGUGUUUUUGUUUGCUAAUUUAUCUACGAAAAUAUGUGUAAAUAGGCAUCCGAUCGGCGCCGCCGGGUAUGUUAUUAUCUUGCUUUUUCUGUAUUAUUACUUAUUUUGAGUUUAUAAAGUUUGAAUUACAAGAGUUUAAAAUGUGGUACAACAUAAUAAUUCGUCCUUAUAAAUUUGCAAAAUUUAUUGAUAUUAGUUUCUUUAUUCGAUCAUAAAUGACCGCACCUUUUUUUUUUGGUACAAGGGAAAGAGGCAAAGACUAAAACAAACUAGUAACUAACAUUCCUAUCACAAGAAACACCAUAGAGAUCAUGCAAGAUCCAAGGAAUAAUAUCACCCGAAGUUCCGAAGACACUGGAUAAAUCGAGAAAGAUAUUCAAUCAAUAAUAGAAGUCAUAAUUUUUAUACCGUUCGCUUACUUUGCAUAUGUUAAGCGAAUGUGUACUUGGAUGGCCCAUGAAGUGGCUAAAAAGUCCUUAAAGCCUCCUUUUUAGGAGUUAUUAUUGUAAUCUCUGUUAUUUAAUUCUCACAAACAUUAUGUA
Molecule: long non-coding RNA, 1895 nt
Organism: Mercurialis annua (annual mercury)
Lineage: Eukaryota; Viridiplantae; Streptophyta; Magnoliopsida; Malpighiales; Euphorbiaceae
Exons: 2
Source: RefSeq, a predicted model, not a curated record